Molecule: long non-coding RNA, 7342 nt
Filed under: Brassica napus (rape)
Lineage: Eukaryota; Viridiplantae; Streptophyta; Magnoliopsida; Brassicales; Brassicaceae
Description: long non-coding RNA (BNAP_LNC023195)
Source: RNAcentral
GGAGCUUUUGUCUCCGAGUCGAGAUAGUUAGGUUGGUUGGUCGAGGUCCUCCUCCAGCGGAGCUCCGGGGCGUAAGCCAGGCGCUUCCGUCGAUGCCUGCUCGGAGCCACUUCGGUGAGUUCUCGACUGAUUUUCCAGGUUAUUCUCUUGCUUCCGCAAUAAGCGCUUUGAAGAAGGGUUUACAUUGUUGUUUUACUUGAUCUUACUACCUAUUAAUCUCAAGUCCUCUUUGUUUGAGGCUUGGAAUUAAUCUUUAUGUAUCCUAGUGGUUUUUUAAUUUUUUGCGGUCACUAGGAUCAGAUGAGCUCUCUGCAGAUUGUGGUUCAAUUAAGUUUGUAACCAAACUUUUAUUUCAUCAAUGAUAUUUACCAUUUAGCAAAAAAAAAAAAAUUUGUGUAUAUAUAAUCAAUAACAACUUUUUAGUUCACUACUAUACUUAAUUUGGUGGAAAUGGUACACUGUCAUUAACUGAUUAUCUCUAUUGAAAGAAGGGUUUAUGAAUAUGAUGGAACAUAUAAAUGAGCCUACUUAAUUACUAGUACGCUGUAAACUUGAAAGGUCGAGGAGCUUGGAGCAACACUCGUUUUUAUUAUGACCCUACGUAUGUUUUCUGUUGUCGAGCUUUAUAAAAAAAAAUUGAAUUCGAUAAGUCUGUACCUAUAAUCUUCCUAAGCUAGGGAGUAGGGACAAGAGCCAGUUAUUAUUUCUUCUCCGCAGCUAGAGCUUUAUAAUUUCAUGUGAAGAUUUCGUAGGUGAGUUAAAAUAAAACCUUGUAAUGUAUUCUAUACAUAAAACUCGUAAGAAAAUCUCUAUUGCAAAAUUGUAUAGUGUAGAUAAAGUGCAAAUAUAUUUUAUUUAAUUAAUUAUAAUUAUUGUUACUCCUGGUAGUCUUGGAGCAUUAUUAUUAGUAUGGAUAUCCCAUGAGAUAUCUAACCUAUACAAUUUUAAUUUGGUUUAUGUAAUUAAUUUUAAAUAUAAAAAGUAAACCAAUUAUAAGAAAAUACAUCAUCAUAUAUGAAUAUCCAAUUUUUUUAAUAUUUUAUUUGGUUUUCUUUUUCUUAUCUUUUAUUUUACGGCAAAUCAUGUCGAUAACCCUAAAACAUUCGAAAAUAGUAUUAAUUAAAUAAGAAAAGAUUAACUAUCUUAAACCCUAAACCUUGAUUAUAAUCCGCAUCCUUAAAUAGUUUAAGGAUCCUAAUUCAAAAGGUAUGUCCAAUGGUGUUCUCCAAUUUAGAGUCCUUAGGAAUUAAAAAAAAUAAUAAACUUUUUAUAAAAGUGAAAUUAAAUUUUUUUAUUUAUUGCAUGAUUAAAUAGAAAGAUACAACAUUUAUUAAUCUUCAAUCACCAAAUUUGUUCCAAAUAUUUUCAAUUAAAUCAUUUUUCAAUUGUUGAUGUAAACGCUUAUCGUGAACAUCAUCCCGAAUGCCGAGCAUAUUAGCGAUAUUUGAAUGCCGAGCAGAUUAUGGAUAUUUGUAGGCCUCUCGGUAUCCACCCGUGAACUUCUGCUGUUGUCUCCUUCUUCAAAUUCAUAUAGAUCGUACCGAAUAUAUCCAUCUCGUUCGUUUUCGACUAUCAUAUUGUGUAGUAUGAUAUAUGCUCGCAUAAUGUUCCCUAUCUUUUCUUUGUCCAAUGAAAGAGCCGGAUUUUUCACAAUCGCAAAUCGAGCUUGCAAUACUCCAAAAGCCCGUUCCACGUUUUUUCUGGUUGCUUCUUGAAUUCUAGCAAAUAACUCUGCUUUAGGACCUUGAGAGUGCGAUAUAGAUUGGAUAAAUGUUGACCAUUUGGGAUAUAUACCGUCUGUGAGGUAGUACGCCAACUUAUACUUGUGUCUGUUGACCACGUACUCUAACCUGGGAGCUCGGCCUUGGAAAAUCUCAUCAAAAACAGGAGACCGAUCGAGGACAUUAAUAUCGUUUAAGGUACCUGGAGGACCAAAAAAAUUGUGUCAUAUCCAAAGAUCUUGUGAAGCCACAGCCUCUAAGACAAUUGUCGGUUUUCCUGAUCCACGUGCGUACUGUCCUUUCCAAGCGGUUGGGCAAUUCUUUCACUCCCAAUGCAUACAGUCAAUGCUUCCUACCAUCCCAGGAAACCCGCGUUUGUCUCCCAUAUCGAACAGUCGUUGAAGAUCCUCUGGUAUGGGUCUUCGUAGAUACUCAUCUCCAAAUAACUGUAUUAUUCCGUCAGUGAAAUGGUGUAAACACGAAAGUGCCGUGCUUUCACCAAGUCGGAGAUAUUUGUCUACCGUGUCAGCCGCAGUACCAUAAGCAUGCAGACGAAUAGCUGCUGUACAUUUUUGUAGUGGAGAAAGACCAAACCUCCCGGUUGCAUCUCUUCUUUGUUGAAAGAAUGGAACGUUCUCUGAGAGGCCAUGAACAAGACGCAAGAAUAAAUCCUUAUUCAUGCGGAAACGGCGUCUGAAUAAAUAUGUCGAGAAUGUCGAAUCUUCGGUGAAGUAGUCAUCCCAUAAGCGGCUGUGUCCCGCUUCACGGUUUCGUUCUAUAUAAGCUUGUUUCCUUUGCUUACUGGUUUUGGCCUCCACUAUGUCGUUGUAUGUAUCUUCCAAGAUAUCGUCGAAAAUUUCGUUCAAUCUUUCUUCGACUUCAUCGGACGAAGAUGAUGACAUUUUUAGGUAUUCUAUUUGAAAAAAAAUAUUAAACAAAAAUAGUUUCAAAUUUUAGUAAGGAAUUUUAGUUCUUUAUUUUUUGUGAAGAAUAUUAGUUCUAUAUUUUACUAAAGAAAUUAUCUAUACAAGAGUUUAUCCAAAAAAAUAAUAUUAUAGUAAUACAUGAAAUAUAUAUUUAUAUAUAAUUAGUAAACAAGAAGUGAUAGUAGUUACCUAUUUAAGUGAAGCAGUACUUCUUGAUUACAACUUUUAGCAACUGGUAAACGAGAAGUGAUAGUAGCAAAAGCUUACAACAACUUGAUAGCAAGAAUAUUACAUAGGAAACGAAAUACGGCAGUAGCAAAAGGAAACGUAAGGAAAGAAGAACUUGUGGAAACUAAAGACGAGCUGGAGUGAAACUUAUAGAACAUGGAGUGAUACAGUAGAACCCGUGAGUUGGUUCACAUGAAGCUAAACAACAAAACACUUUCAGAAAUGCACCCGUGACUUGGUUCACAUGUCCUACUGCUUAACCUGAAACAACACAAAAGACAAGAGUUGGCUAAUUAUUAAAGUUAUAUGACAUGUGACUAGAUAGCUAACUACGCAAUACAACAUGUCUACCUAAUACGCCAAGAGUUAGCUAACUACUCAGGACAACUCCAAACAAGAUAGCUAACAGCUCAAUGCAACAUGUCUAAUACGCCAAGAGUUACCAAAUAACACAAUACCUAAACUCAUAACAUCUCAGACAUAAGUUUGAGUUUAAGAGAUGUUUCCAUCUCAGUGAGUGGAUCUUUUUUGGCAAGUAAACGGUCGAGCAGUUUCUGUUUAGAGAGUUUUUCUUUCAUUUCCAUGAUGGCAUGUAUAUGUGACAACUCCUCUUCUUUACCACUCUUCUUCCUCUUAGUAGCAGCUUUAGCAGCCUUGACACCCCACGGGCCUAGCCUCUGGUUCUCCCACUUCAUCUUCUGUGUAUACCUCCUGCACUUGUUUGCGCUUUUCUUUCCCACUGUGAUUAGCCAGAUAGGUAGAGGACCAUUUCUUGUCAUGCCUCAGCUCCCUCCAGGCAUGUUCCAGGGUGAACAUGUAAUUGUGAUCAUUGUAGAAGUAGUCUAGUGCAGCUUUCAUCACAUCAUCAUCAUUUUGACCACUUCUCUGCUCCCUCAGAGCCGCAUCAUAGCAUCCAACGAACUUGGACACUUGCUCGUUAAUACUAGCCCAUCUUUGCUUGCACUGACCAACCUCUCUAGGUAUUGUCCCAACCAGCUGAGGGCUUGCGUUGUAGUAGUCUACAAUCCUCCUCCAGAAUGCACCAGCUUUCUGCUCAUUGCUCACCACCGCAUCUUUACUGGUGUUAAGCCAAGCCCCAAUAAGGAUUUUAUCCUCUUUCAGAGACCAUUUCCUCCUCUCCUUCACAACAGACUCGACAACAGACUCAUCAGGACCUUGGCUACCCAACCAAAAAGGUUCAUAUGAAUCAAGGUCAACUGGAGAUUGAGAUUGCCUAAACAGUAGGUUAACAUAACUAGUGUUCUUAUCCAUGGUUAGAGAAGUGGUCUGUGUCACUCUAAUAGCAACACAGAGCCUUAAGUAGGCGAGCUUUACUUAAGAAACAUUUAAAGGCAAUAAAAUCCGAGCAGUUAGGAAGGUAGAAAGAAAACUAGUUGCAUUAAACACCAAUCAAAUCAGACUAACACCGAAUUCAUUAGGUUGUAAAACAUUUAAAACAAUCCAAUCUGAGGCGGUAGGAAGGUAGAAAGCAAAACAACUAGCAUUUAACACCAAUACAUUCAAAGAAAAGAGACUACUAUUAUUUUUGACGUUUUAAUUUUUAUUAUUCAAAGAAAAUACAGUACUAUAUGUUUUUUAUAAUUCAAAGAAAAGUCACUAGGAAGUUGUAGUUUCGUACCUUAUUAUACAGACACUCUCGAGGUUUUAGACACUCUGGUUUACUUCUUUGAAGCUCUUGCUGCAAAAACAUGAGAUCAAACAGUCAAAAGUUUUACAAAAUUGCAUAAAGGACAACCAAAAGCAGAAGAGAUAAACUUACCAGUCAGAAACAUGACCGCCAGACCUAAAAAAACUAACACAGAGACCAGUAGCCCAACUUCCAAUGCAAAGCCAUUUCUAACCCCUGAUUUCUUCUUAGAUAACUCACAGACGGUCUUCUGUAGCUUAACCAGCUUCUAGUCACACUCAAAACCUUGAUCCUUAAGCUGCCUAAGUUGUCUCUGAAUGUCACUCAUAUCCUCUGUAACAGCCACAUCCCACCAUUUCCAUAUGUGGCAGUCCCCAUCAUCGAUAUUGUCGCAGGUGAAGUACCUUCUCCCUGGGUCUUUACGCGUGUAAGAUGUUGCAUCAACAGGCUCACCACCACAGUAGCAUGUCGUCGGGAUUCCAUCAUCAGCCUCAGGUUGAGGUGGGUACUGAACCGGCUCAGCAAUAUGGUAGCUACUCUCAGAUCCAUCGGCGUACAGUUCAGCUUCUGCUUGAAGAAGGGACGUUAUGUCAUACUCGUUUGAUGAAGAAGGCUGGGUGUACGAAUAAUCUUGUCCCAUGAUUCGUUAACCUGAAAGAAAUUAUGUAAGCGAAGAAGAUAACGAAGUAGAUAAUAAAGUACACUAAAUAGAUAACAUUAAGAUAAAGCGAAAUGGAUAAUAAACAACAACAAUCACAGAGUAUUAUAGAAACAAACACCGAUUGAACAAAACAGAGGGAUCGAGUUAACAAAACAUGACAAAAGAGUAGAUCCCCAAAUUGACAAAACAUGACAAAAAAGUAAGAAAUCGAUUGUAAGAACAAACGAGUAGAUCCCCAAAUCGUUUGAAACCAAAAUCCUUUUCAAACCCUAACUACAAACGACCUAAACCCCAAAUCGAUUGAAAACCCAGUUUUUCUAAACUCUAAUUUCAAACGUAAAUAUCCCCAAAUCGAUUGAAAACACAAAACCGAACACUAAAUUGAGAGGAAAACAACAUCGAACCUAAUCUAAAUCCAUAAAUCUGCACGAGAAGGCUUCGAUUUACCUUCGUAUCGGGACGGAUCGAAAUCGCCUUUCCUCGAGAGCUUUUCUUUUUUUCUCGGCUUCGGUUGAAAAUGAAAUUUUUUUUUUGGUAUACGAAAGACGAAAGCCGACCGAACGUAUCACCGGCUGCCACGUCUCUAAGGAUCAACGCCUUUAAAUCCUUAGUUACGGAUUCAUCCUUAGCUUAUUUAGCUCAAAUAAUAUUUUUAUAAUCCGACAAGCAUAUGAUUAACCGCUAAGGACCAUCAACGUUCCCCCAUUGCAGCUGCUCUUAUCGCCCUUGCUUUCCUCGUUCCUCUUUCUGAUUUCUUUUUAGCCGGGUGUUAUUUUAAUUAUUUUCCUGACAUUAUUUUCUUCUAGGUCUUUUUGUUCCUAAGUUCUUUUCAUUAGUGUUAAAAAAAAAGUUAUUUUCAUUAAAAAGCCUUGUUUUCAAAUAUUUUCAGUUCCAGUACUUCUUUAAUUUUAUUUUGUUAGUAAAUUCACUCUUUUUCUUCAUUUAGUUUUUAGUAAUAUUAAUUUAUUUUUCUUUAAAAUGUAUUUUUAUUGAAAAAUAUAAAACAGAUUUAUAUAAUAUUAUUAAAUAAAAUAUUAAUUAAUUUAUGCUCCCACUUAAAAUAUUUUUUAAAUCCGCCACUGAGUUGAUCUAUUCUAUGUCGAUAACACUAAAACAUUCGAAAAUAGUAUUAAUUAAAUAAGAAAAGAUUAACUAACUUAAACCCUAAACCUUGAUUAUAAUCCGCAUCCUUAAAUAUUAAAUAAUAAAUCUAAUCUGCAUCCUUAAAUAUUUAUCGUAUAAUUAAUUAUUUUUAUUUUUAUUUUGAUAUAUUAAUUAAUCGUACAAAUAUGUGUAUAUUUUUAUUUUUAGCAUUUAAUAAAUAUUAUUUUGAAGAUUUUUUUUCUAUUAUUUUAAAAUAAAAACCUUUUUAGUAAAAUUAGAAUUUUGUUUUUACUGUUUUAAAUUUUGAGAGAUUCACUUGCAUAUAUUGAUUUCUAUAUUUACAAGAAGAAGAAGUGAAAAAGAAACGUCUUUUUUUAAAAAAUAUUUAAACGGCUUUUAUAUUAAAAAAAAUUUGUGUUUUUUUUUAAAUGCAGAAAGUUAAGAUUAAAACUUAAAAAAAAUAAUAAUAAAAAAGAAGAACCAAACCAAACGCUAAACAAUCUGUUUGCUAAACCGUAAUAGACCAUGAAACCCUAAUCGAUAGAGAAGGACAAAAGUAGUGAUCGCUGCCAUCAAAUGGAACCCGCCGGAAUCUUCUUCCGCAGAGACGCUAUAUCGACUGCGGUUCAUCGCAUAAAUUGGAGCACCAGAGCUGAAGCAAGCCAGAAGAUGGAUAAGCUUCCAUCGGGAAGGAAACCGAAAGAUGGAGUAAUUUUCGCCGGGAAGAAAAACAGAAAAACAAAGUAGUGAGCAUGCACUAUCAGACGCAAUAGAAAGGCACAGCGAAGAUGAGAAGCUGAAAAAGAAAAGAAAAGACACUACAAGAUUAAGGAAACGGUUAUAAACCAUAUGAUGGAUGUCCAUAAUCGAGAAAGACAGACGGCCGGUUUAGAGAGAGACGGCCAGUUUCCAUAAUCCCUCAUUUAUGAUUUGUACUAUUUCUAUAUUGUGUUUUCCUUUUCCUAGUUGUAUUAGGAUUUUUAAUCUUUUCAUUUAUCUAUGACGGUGUAAUUCCCUACAUAUAAAAGGUUCCUUAUGAUUGAUUAAUAAUAAG